UCUCUCGCACGGUAAAGGUGUUGAAAACGGCCAAUAUACUCCUCUAUGUGGGCAAUAGAUGGCCCGGGCAUGUAACCUGUUAUUGUGGGGUUUUUUGUUAGACCUACCAAGCACACGUCCAUGUUUAAAUUAAGGUUAGGCUACUGGAUAAUUUAAAACAAAACCAAAUUGUCUGCACUGUUGCUGAAAGCGUCGGAUAUGUCGCCCCUGUAUUGCAAUUUGGCCAAAUCCGAAUGCGUCCUGUGAAACGCCCGUGGGUUGCAUUGGAGAAAGCCAUGAGCGUCUCUCUCGCACAAUAAAGGUGUUAAAACGGCCAAUAAACUCCUAUAUCAAAAACGAUUAAUGACCUCCUGUUUUAGCCAAUCAUCAUGGAGGAAACAUAACUUGUUGUUGCUCAAAACCUACGUCUGUGCAGUCGUUCAACAUUGUGGUGAAUUAAUGACGAGUGAAGCCCACAGCGUCUAAUAACAUCGCGGGUGGUUUUACGCUGAAGUUGGUUGAAAGCCAUGAGCCAUGAGGUUGGUUG
This is a long non-coding RNA of Alosa sapidissima (American shad), 526 nucleotides long. RefSeq lists it as uncharacterized. The transcript is spliced from 3 exons. The record is from RefSeq and is a predicted model, not a curated record. NCBI's taxonomy places the organism in Eukaryota, Metazoa, Chordata, Actinopteri, Clupeiformes, Clupeidae.